CUACGGGCGGCAGCAGUUAGGAAUAAUCUACAAUGCGCGCAAGCGUGAUAGUUUGAGCCAGAGUGCUUUACAAUAGUAAAGCUUUUGCUAAAUGUAAAAAGUUUGGCGAAUAAGGACUGGGUAAGACGAGUGCCAGCCGCCGCGGUGAAUACUCGCGGUCCAAGUCGCAGCCAUUUUUAUUGGGUCUAAAACAUCCGUAGCUUGCUUAAUAAGUCCCUUGUGAAAUUUUAUAUCUCAAGUAUGAAGCGCGCAAGGGGUACUGUUAAGCUAGAGACUGGAAGACGUAAUCAGUACGUUCAGAGUAGCGGUAAAAUGUGUUAAUCCUGGACGGACUCACGAGAGCGAAGGCAGAUUACGAGGACAGUUCUGACAGUAAGGGAUGAAGGCUAGGGGCGCAAAACGGAUUAGAUACCCUAGUAGUC
RNAcentral lists this ribosomal RNA (422 nucleotides) under uncultured archaeon. RNAcentral's name for it is "partial 16S ribosomal RNA". It matches the Rfam family "Archaeal small subunit ribosomal RNA", at positions 323 to 746 of the family's 1478-position model. The record is from RNAcentral.